GCAGAAUUGUAAUAUUACUUUGUAACAUUUAUCAUACAGUGAAUGAGGUUUGCAAGAAACUGGUACAUCAUUGAGGACAUUACGCACUUUUUUUUUUAUAUAUAGUAGGGUUGUAGCCCUGGUUGGGGAGUCGGUGCAUACUAGCGUAUUUAGAUUAUGUAUGUGAUGGUGAUCCUCUACCAGGUCGAUUUGAGGCAGUAUGUGUGGGCUAGCUAGAGUGAGUGGAUGCGGGGUUUUAACAUUCUGGGUGCUUGUUGAUAACGAGUGAGUGACGUGAGGGUGGUUGUAGAGUGUUGGUUUGUAGCUUUGUAGCUCAUGGGAGUUGGGUGUGAGGCAGUCGUUUGGGUAGCCAAAGUGGUGGAGUAGGUGGUGUCAGGAGGACUAUUUGGUUCCUCGGGGGGGAGAGAGGGGGUGGUACACCUCUGGUGGGUGUGCCUAAUGUGUAUGUACAUUCGAGACAGGGCUUAAACUAGGUAGGGCCUGGCCAUAUAAGGUAUGAGUACCAAAAGGGUAACAUGUUAGUAUUUUGGCAACAGAGAGAACUAAAGCGAAAAGUACAGAUACAGAACAUAGAUGAACUGUUGCAGAUUGCUUCCAAACGUGGAGCGGUGUCUUCUCCCUUAUCAGUCAGGUGGCUGGUGUGGGUCUUGGUGUGCUUCUUGGCACAAAUCGUAUUGCUGCUUCUGGGUCCCAGGCUUGGGUGAGAAGUGUAGUAGAGGUGGCCGGUGUGGUGUCUGUAAGACCCAGAGCCUGGAGCAGCACCUCUGCUUCAGAUUCCGCUGACAGCUUGUGAACAGUUCCGUUAUAGGAUACAAGAAGGGAUCUCGGCAUCCCCCAUCUGUAUGCUACUCCUGCUGAGCAUAGAUGGCUAGUGAGGGCUGCCAAUGAUUUCCGCCAUUGUAGCGUGGCCUUGGUAAGGUCCUGGUAGAACGGUAGAGGUCUUGGUGAUGGUAGGUAGGCGGUACAGUCCAGCCAUGGUGAACUUUUUGGCUAGGGCCGCAGGUUAUAGAGUGUCAGGUAUACCUAACAUUCAUGCUGCCGCCGGAACCCACUUCCGGGUUCACGGCGCUUAGGUCCGCCCCUUUUUUCUGACGCGGUCUUUCCACGAUACUUAGGAAGACCGCGCCAGAUUCAAAGGGCUGGAUUAUUCACUCAGGUGCGGCAGUGAGAUCAGCUGCUCUACUCGAUGCUACCGGCUCCA
This is a non-coding RNA of Pelobates cultripes (western spadefoot toad), 1201 nucleotides long. The record is from the annotation of a GenBank genome assembly. NCBI's taxonomy places the organism in Eukaryota, Metazoa, Chordata, Amphibia, Anura, Pelobatidae.